GACGAACGCUGGCGGCGUGCUUAACACAUGCAAGUCGAACGGAAAGGCCCUUCGGGGUACUCGAGUGGCGAACGGGUGAGUAACACGUGGGUGAUCUGCCCUGCACUUUGGGAUAAGCCUGGGAAACUGGGUCUAAUACCGAAUAGGACCACGCGCUUCAUGGUGUGUGGUGGAAAGCUUUUGCGGUGUGGGAUGGGCCCGCGGCCUAUCAGCUUGUUGGUGGGGUAAUGGCCUACCAAGGCGACGACGGGUAGCCGGCCUGAGAGGGUGACCGGCCACACUGGGACUGAGAUACGGCCCAGACUCCUACGGGAGGCAGCAGUGGGGAAUAUUGCACAAUGGGCGCAAGCCUGAUGCAGCGACGCCGCGUGAGGGAUGACGGCCUUCGGGUUGUAAACCUCUUUCAAUAGGGACGAAGCGAAAGUGACGGUACCCAUAGAAGAAGCACCGGCCAACUACGUG
Molecule: ribosomal RNA, 462 nt
Filed under: uncultured bacterium
Lineage: Bacteria
Description: partial 16S ribosomal RNA
Rfam family: Bacterial small subunit ribosomal RNA
Source: RNAcentral